AAGUCGUAACAAGGUCUCCGUAGGUGAACCUGCGGAGGGAUCAUUACCGAGUUCCGAAGGACACGCGGUGGUCUAAAUAUGCCACUUCGUGCCCCGGCCUCCAACCCUUUGUGAACACAACUUGUUGCUUCGGGGGCGACCCUGCCGUUCGCGGCGAGCGCCCCCGGAGGCCUUCCAACACUGCAUCUCUGCGUCGGAGUUUAAGUAAAUUAAACAAAACUUUCAACAACGGAUCUCUUGGUUCUGGCAUCGAUGAAGAACGCAGCGAAAUGCGAUAAGUAAUGUGAAUUGCAGAAUUCAGUGAAUCAUCGAAUCUUUGAACGCACAUUGCGCCCUCUGGUAUUCCGGAGGGCAUGCCUGUUCGAGCGUCAUUUCACCACUCAAGCCUGGCUUGGUAUUGGGCGCCGCGGUGUUCCGCGCGCCUUAAAGUCUCCGGCUGGGCUGUCCGUCUCUAAGCGUUGUGAUUUCAUUAAUCGCUUUGGAGCGCGGGCGGCCGCGGCCGUUAAAUCUUUCACAAGGUUGACCUCGGAUCAGGUAGGGAUACCCGCUGAACUUAAGCAUAUCAAUAAGCGGAGGAAAAGAAACCAACAGGGAUUGCCCUAGUAACGGCGAGUGAAGCGGCAACAGCUCAAAUUUGAAAUCUGGCGCAAGCCCGAGUUGUAAUUUGUAGAGGAUGCUUCUGGGUAGCGACCGGUCUAAGUUCCUUGGAACAGGACGUCAGAGAGGGUGAGAAUCCCGUAUGUGACCGGCCCGCGCCCUCUACGUAGCUCCUUCGACGAGUCGAGUUGUUUGGGAAUGCAGCUCUAAAUGGGAGGUAAAUUUCUUCUAAAGCUAAAUACCGGCCAGAGACCGAUAGCGCACAAGUAGAGUGAUCGAAAGAUGAAAAGUACUUUGGAAAGAGAGUUAAAAAGCACGUGAAAUUGUUGAAAGGGAAGCGCCUGCAAUCAGACUUCGCGGCAGUGUUCCGCCGGCCUUCUGGCCGGUUCAUUCUCUGUCGCGAGGCCAUCAUCGUCUCGGCCCGCUGGAUAAGACCUUGGGAAUGUAGCUCACCUUCGGGGGAGUGUUAUAGCUUACGGUGAUGCAGCGAGGCUGGGGCGAGGUCCGCGCUUCGGCAAGGAUGAUGGCGUAAUGGUUGUCGGCGGCC
RNAcentral lists this ribosomal RNA (1144 nucleotides) under uncultured Mycosphaerella. RNAcentral describes it as "eukaryotic LSU rRNA". The stretch from base 521 to 1144 matches the Rfam family "Eukaryotic large subunit ribosomal RNA", at positions 1 to 649 of the family's 3401-position model. Lineage: Eukaryota; Fungi; Ascomycota; Dothideomycetes; Mycosphaerellales; Mycosphaerellaceae. The record is from RNAcentral.